RNAcentral lists this ribosomal RNA (237 nucleotides) under uncultured Staphylococcus sp. Its description in RNAcentral is "partial 16S ribosomal RNA". It matches the Rfam family "Bacterial small subunit ribosomal RNA", at positions 103 to 334 of the family's 1533-position model. Lineage: Bacteria; Bacillati; Bacillota; Bacilli; Caryophanales; Staphylococcaceae. The record is from RNAcentral.
CGGGUGAGUAACACGUGGAUAACCUACCUAUAAGACUGGGAUAACUUCGGGAAACCGGAGCUAAUACCGGAUAAUAUUUUGAACCGCAUGGUUCAAAAGUGAAAGACGGUCUUGCUGUCACUUAUAGAUGGAUCCGCGCUGCAUUAGCUAGUUGGUAAGGUAACGGCUUACAAAGGCAACGAUGCAUAGCCGACCUGAGAGGGUGAUCGGCCACACUGGAACUGAGACACGGUCCAG